UCCUUUUUCCUUUUAUGCAAGUUGGCAUAAAAUGUAAUGUUUUUGUUUUUGUUUUUUAGUAGUAUUGUAUAUUUGCAUUAUUUGCUUCAGAUUAAGGGUGGACAUUCGGAUUUGAUUAGUAUUUGUUCAGAUUUUGAGUGUUAGGGUCAAAAGUUUUAGUUUUAAUCGGAUAUUUAUAAAUUUUAGUUUGGGUACAAUUGAUAUUUGCAAGUCUUUGGAAACUUUUUCCAUUUCAGUUGAUCAUUCUGUUGAUCACCUUGAUCUUAGCCCUUGCUUCCAACGGAACCAGUCUUCAAGUCAAUUCACUCGUUUUCCAUCUGGAAGACGUAGUGAAGAGGUACCAGUAUGUGCUUGCAUUCAGAAACCUAAGAUACUGGAUACGUGUGAUCAAGGGACGAGGAUUGUCAGAUCAAUCUACACAAAGCGUUUUAGCUCCAAAACCUUGACACUAAUGGCAUUAGCUCUGUCUACGGGUGUAUAGACGAGCUAGGUAACGAAGGUCAUCCCCCGGUCAGUUCGUCAACGGUACUUGGACCCUUAUGUGUGUAUGUGUGUAUCAUUCUGUUUUUGCUACUGUCAAUUCCACUAAGCUGAGUGAAGACGUUCAAUUGUCCUUUCUUUCAUUUGAUCAUAUAACAAUAAUAUUGUCCGAGUC
Raphanus sativus (radish) is the source of this 655-nucleotide long non-coding RNA. RefSeq lists it as uncharacterized. The transcript is spliced from 2 exons. The record is from RefSeq and is a predicted model, not a curated record. Lineage: Eukaryota; Viridiplantae; Streptophyta; Magnoliopsida; Brassicales; Brassicaceae.